CAUGCAGUCGAGCGCGCUUCGGGCGAGCGGCGGACGGGUUAGUACGCGUGGACGUGCCAGAUCUACGGAAUAGCCACUGGAAACGGUGAGUAAUACCGUAUACGCCCUUCGGGGGAAAGAUUUAUCGGAUUUGGAUCGGCCCGCGUUAGAUUAGGUAGUUGGUGGGGUAACGGCCUACCAAGCCUACGAUCUAUAGCUGGUUUUAGAGGAUGAUCAGCAACACUGGGACUGAGACACGGCCCAGACUCCUACGGGAGGCAGCAGUGGGGAAUCUUGGACAAUGGGGGCAACCCUGAUCCAGCCAUGCCGCGUGAGUGAAGAAGGCCCUAGGGUCGUAAAACUCUUUCGCCUGUGAUGAUUAUGACAGUAGCAGGUAAAGAAACCCCGGCUAACUCCGUGCCAGCAGCCGCGGUAAUACGGAGGGGGUUAGCGUUGUUCGGAAUUACUGGGCGUAAAGCGCACGUAGGCGGAUUAGAAAGUUAGAGGUGAAAUCCCGGGGCUCAACCCCGGAACUGCCUUUAAAACUACUAGUCUAGAGUUCGAGAGAGGUGAGUGGAACUCCGAGUGUACAGGUGAAAUUCGGAGAUAUUCGGCGGAACACCAGUGGCGAACGCGGCUCACUGGCUCGAUACUGACGCUGAGGUGCGACAGUGUGGGGCGCCCCCGGAUUGAUACCUGGUAGUCAUACAGAACCGAGAUGCCGUCGCGGUAAAUACAUCGG
RNAcentral lists this ribosomal RNA (721 nucleotides) under uncultured Alphaproteobacteria bacterium. Its description in RNAcentral is "bacterial SSU rRNA". It matches the Rfam family "Bacterial small subunit ribosomal RNA", at positions 54 to 843 of the family's 1533-position model. Lineage: Bacteria; Pseudomonadati; Pseudomonadota; Alphaproteobacteria. The record is from RNAcentral.